GCUUACGGCCAUACCAGCCUGGGUACGCCCGAUCUCGUCUGAUCUCGGAAGCUAAGCAGGGUCGUGCCUGGUUAGUACUUGGAUGGGAGACCGCCUGGGAAUACCAGGUGCUGUAAUCA
This 119-nucleotide ribosomal RNA is filed under the name Salmo salar (Atlantic salmon). The record is from RNAcentral. Lineage: Eukaryota; Metazoa; Chordata; Actinopteri; Salmoniformes; Salmonidae.